RNAcentral lists this small nucleolar RNA (138 nucleotides) under Ornithorhynchus anatinus (platypus). The record is from RNAcentral. Lineage: Eukaryota; Metazoa; Chordata; Mammalia; Monotremata; Ornithorhynchidae.
CCCCUCUCAGGGUCGCACCUGGAGGGUUUCCCGUCCUCUACCAGUCUCGGCUACGGGAGGGAGAGACGGGCAGAGGCCUGUCCAUUCCAUUCCUGGCUUGGGCAGUGGCUAGCGAGUGGAAGGCAAUCUGCUACAAGU